CCUACGGGUGGCAGCAGUGGGGAAUAUUGGACAAUGGGCGAAAGCCUGAUCCAGCCAUGCCGCGUGUGUGAAGAAGGCCUUCGGGUUGUAAAGCACUUUCAGUGGGGAAGAAAGCCUCGGGGCUAAUACCCUCGAGGAAGGACAUCACCCACAGAAGAAGCACCGGCUAACUCCGUGCCAGCAGCCGCGGUAAUACGGAGGGUGCGAGCGUUAAUCGGAAUUACUGGGCGUAAAGCGCGCGUAGGCGGUCUGAUAAGCCGGUUGUGAAAGCCCCGGGCUCAACCUGGGAACGGCAUCCGGAACUGUCAGGCUAGAGUGCAGGAGAGGAAGGUAGAAUUCCCGGUGUAGCGGUGAAAUGCGUAGAGAUCGGGAGGAAUACCAGUGGCGAAGGCGGCCUUCUGGACUGACACUGACGCUGAGGUGCGAAAGCGUGGGUAGCAAACAGGAUUAGAUACCCCAGUAGUC
This 465-nucleotide ribosomal RNA is filed under the name Vreelandella stevensii. RNAcentral describes it as "partial 16S ribosomal RNA". It matches the Rfam family "Bacterial small subunit ribosomal RNA", at positions 338 to 795 of the family's 1533-position model. The record is from RNAcentral. Lineage: Bacteria; Pseudomonadati; Pseudomonadota; Gammaproteobacteria; Oceanospirillales; Halomonadaceae.